UUUCUCUUUAUGGGAAAUUGAGAUGCAGUGUAUGGAAUGUCUAUAUGCUAGUAUGACAUAUUAACGAUUUAAGUCCUUCUUAAAUGAGGCCAUUUACCCAUAGAGGGUGCCAGGCCCGUAUAACGUUAAUGAUUACUAGAAGAUAUUUCCAAAGAGUCGUGUUGCUUGAUAGUGCAGCACUAAGUGGGUGGUAAACUCCAUCUAAAACUAAAUAUGACCAUGAGACCGAUAGCAAACAAGUACCGUGAGGGAAAGUUGAAAAGAACUCUGAAUAGAGAGUUAAAUAGUACGUGAAACUGCUUAGAGGUUAAGCCCGAUGAACCUGAAUAUCCAUUAUGGAAAAUUCAUCAUUAUAAUUGUGAUAUUUUAAAAAUAUCAUGAGAAUAGUGUGCAUUUUUUCCAUAUAAGGACAUUGUAAUCUAUUAACAAAUAUAUAUUUAUCAAAAGAUCAUUUGCAAAAGUUUAUACGAUUUAAUGUGUUUACAUGUUAACAUUAUAUAAAUGCUUAUGAUUUGAUAAAGUGUUGAUAGAUUUAUUAUAUAUAGUGCUGAAAUUAUUUAUAAUUUUACAAUAAUAUAUUAAUCAUGAUUUUUAUAUUUAUUGUAUGCGCUUAUAUGAUUAACAAUGCGAAAGAUUCAGGAUACCUUCGGGACCCGUCUUGAAACACGGACCAAGGAGUCUAACAUAUGUGCAAGUAAUUGGGAAUUAAAAAACCUAAUUGCGAAAUAAACAUAACUUGUUAAUGGGAUUAAUUUUUAUAGAAAUUUAUUUUUAUAUUAAUUCCGUCCCGGGGCGUUCUAUAUAGUUAUGUAUAAUUAUAUUUAUAUAA
Molecule: ribosomal RNA, 829 nt
Filed under: Sepsis punctum
Lineage: Eukaryota; Metazoa; Arthropoda; Insecta; Diptera; Sepsidae
Description: eukaryotic LSU rRNA
Rfam family: Eukaryotic large subunit ribosomal RNA
Source: RNAcentral